This 111-nucleotide small nuclear RNA is filed under the name Castor canadensis (American beaver). Lineage: Eukaryota; Metazoa; Chordata; Mammalia; Rodentia; Castoridae. The record is from RNAcentral.
GUGCUCAUUUUGGCAGCACAUACACUAAAAUCGAAACAACAGAGAAGAAUAGCAUGGCCCCUAUGCAAGGAUGACUUUCAAAUUCAUGAAGCAAGGAGUCAGCUGGCAUUU